This 509-nucleotide ribosomal RNA is filed under the name uncultured Glomeromycotina. RNAcentral describes it as "partial small subunit ribosomal RNA". It matches the Rfam family "Eukaryotic small subunit ribosomal RNA", at positions 591 to 1092 of the family's 1831-position model. Lineage: Eukaryota; Fungi; Glomeromycota. The record is from RNAcentral.
CCAAUAGCGUAUAUUAAGGUUGCUGCGGUUAAAAAGCUCGUAGUUGAAUUUCGGGAUUGAUACAUCGGUCGUGCCUUAAGGGGUAUGAGCUGGUGUGGUCAAUUUUUUACCUUCUGGUGAAUUGUGAUGUCCUCCUCAAUUGGGUGUUUCAAUGAACUAGGACUUUUUACUUUGAAAAAAUUAGAGUGUUUAAAGCAGGCAUUAUUUGCUUGAAUACAUUAGCAUGGAAUAAUAAAAUAGGACAAUGAUUCUAUUUUGUUGGUUUCUAGGAUCACUGUAAUGAUUAAUAGGGAUAGUUGGGGGCAUUAGUAUUCAAUUGUCAGAGGUGAAAUUCUUGGAUUAAUUGAAGACUAACUAUUGCGAAAGCAUUUGCCAAGGAUAUUUUCAUUAAUCAAGAACGAAAGUUAGGGGAUCGAAGACGAUUAGGUACGUCGUAGUCUUAACCAUAAACUAUGCCGACUAGGAAUCAGACAACGUUAAAUUUUUAAUGACUUGUUUGGCACCUUACG